This is a long non-coding RNA of Pseudoliparis swirei, 3629 nucleotides long. RefSeq lists it as uncharacterized. Lineage: Eukaryota; Metazoa; Chordata; Actinopteri; Perciformes; Liparidae. The record is from RefSeq and is a predicted model, not a curated record. The transcript has 3 exons.
CCCAUGACAUCAAGCACGGCUUCCGCCACGUUUGCGGACGCGUUGGGCUCCCCUCCUCCUGUACGGAGGUUCAUCUCUGGUGCGCGCUGCCGGCAGCUUGCCCCCUCCCACCUUCCAAGUGGAAUGCUUGGAAUGCUUGGAAUGCCCGACUGAUCGGAGACUGUUGGCCGGGUCAGCGGAACGCUGCCACUCCACAUGGGCCACUGCUGUUUUACCUAUAGGGUUGUUUUUAACCAUUGCCGUGGCACUGUUGAGCGUCCACAAACGCUAUUUACCCCAACGCAACUGCGUCGGCUGUGGCUGCGUCGUGGCACGACCGGGCACAGGGCCGAGCCAACACUGCCUCUGCGGCGCGUGUGACGCCAGUUAGCUCCCUUCGAGUAGGAGCCGUUUACUGGGAUUUAUUAGGUUGUUUUGUGUUUAUCUGUUUUUGGUUUCUCAUUUGUCUCCUGCUUAUUAUUUGUCUUUUGUUUGAUUUUGCCACGUGUGGUUUUCCCUUCAUGGGGAAACCCGGUUUUGUUAUUAAUUGAGUUAGUCUUUUGUGUUUGUAGAUGGCUUAUUCCACGAUGGAGACCUCCACGAUCCAUCAGGCAGAUGGCGGUGGGGAGGAGGAGUGGGCGGAGUCUCAACAGUGGGGGGAGUCUCAACAGGACGGUGGCGUCGUCGGUAGCAGGAACUCCACGACCCAGACCUCGAUGAUCCAUCAGGCAGAUAGGAUCUAUGCCGUCUCAUAGGGUCCGAUGACCCCAUGAGACGUGAAGUCAAAAGGACUCCGGGGAGAAAGCAGAGUUAGUAACGUGUGAUGGAGAGAUGAAAAUUCAUCCCUAAGGAGAGAAAAAAGAGGAGAUAGGUACUCAGUGCAUCCUAAAACGUCCCCCGGCAGCUAUAAGCCUAUAGCAGCAUAUCAAGGGGCUGGACCAGGGCAAACCUGAUUCAGCCCUCACUAUAAGCUCUGUCAAAGAGGAAGGUCUUCAGUCGACUCUUAAACGAGGAGACUGUGUCUGCCUCGCGGACUGAAAUUGGAAGCUGGUUCCAUAAAAGAGGAGCUUGAUAACUAAAGGCUCUGGCUCCCAUUCUACUUUUUAAGACUCUAGGAACUACAAGUAGUCCCGCAUUUAGUGAGCGCAGCUCUCUAGUGGGGCAAUAUGGUACUACAAGCUCCUUAAGAUAUGAUGGUGCAUCACCAAUCAAGGCUUUGUAGGUUAAGAGAAUAAUUUUAAAAGUGAUUCUUGAUUUUACUGGGAGCCAGUGCAGAGCAGCUAGUGCAGGAGUGAUGUGAUCUCUUUUCUUAGUUUUAGUGAGAACACGAGCUGAAGCAUUCUGGAUCAACUGGAGGGACCUAAGAGACUUAUUAGAGCAGCCUGAUAAUAAGGAGGAUAUGUGGUUCAUUAGACAAGCUGGAAGCAAAUCCAUUACCUAAGUUUAUGUUGGUGCCGUUCCUGUUCCAGUGUGCAAUACGCACAUUGCUAUUAGCAUUAGUGGGUAUAAGAUAACGUAUUCACUUGUAAAUGAAAGUGCACUUACCUCCAUAACCUGCAAGUUUAAACAGAGUAAGGCAUCUUAUCUAAAAAAUCACGUUGCUAGACGUAUACUUAAGCCAAACUACUUCAUGUGCUUUAGAGUAACGCACAUGACCACAAUUCACUGGUUGAGCUAUGCACAGACACAUAUUAAACUGCCACUGUCUUCUACAAGAUUAUGUCAUUAGAAAUGUAAGACCACAGAAACAAGCUGCAACAGGGGAAACAUUUACUUUAAUAUCUCUGAACCUAAACUAUGUCCAGGCACAACAACAUGUUGAAGUUGAGGUUUAUGGGAAACAUAUUUUGUUUAGUGCAAUUGACGUCAGUUAUCUCUGUCAUUUCGCCUGAGGUAAAUUGCACAUGUGUGCAGUGGUGUCAGAUUGCUGGAUGGCCUCUGGUAGAUUAUAACUUUUAAAAAGCUCUGUGAUUUAUUGGAGAAACUUUAAUUUAUUUAUUUAUUAUGAGCAAGCACUUAAAGGUUUACCUUCAUGUUUUACUUAAUUUCUUCUGGUACAAGACUGUACAAGACAUUACUUUCCCCACUCCUUGUACUAAAUUUGUACACAAUUAGACACAGCAGUUUCUCUUAGGAAAGCAUUUGUUUUGUUUAAAUAUUGAGUCUUAGUUAACCUUGAGAAUGAUAGCUCCAGACUCUUAAGCUUCUUGGAAUCAGAAAGGAACAGGAUCUCUUUUCCCAUAAAUCACGGGGCAGAAAAAGGUUUACGAGACAGCCUGAUCCAGUCCCAAUUUCUUCAUCCACCAAUAGAAAAUACAAGUUUUUGUUUUUAUCAGCCUCCUUUUACUUCUGAAGAUGUCAACUAAGAACAAUAAACACUCACUAAAAGAGGAUGAACACAUUGACCCUUUGUGAAAGCUUUUCACCAUUGAAAAGAUCCAACACCCAUCGGUCAUUUCUCAUACUUUAUUUAUGUACCUUGUGAUUAAGGGAGGGUCAUUUCUUAUCAUACAUGUUUAAGCCCAUUAGAGCUCAACCCUGACCAUCUUUGUCAGUCUAAGUCUGAUACUCUAUCACUUUGAGCCUUUCUCGCAAUAUCACGAAGAAUAAAUAAUAAUUACAUCCUAAUAAUUACAUCCGGUGAUGGUUUUCUUCACUUCAACAAAAGAAAAGUUAUGAAACAAUUUACUGGUACAUUAUUUGAAACAAGACUGAGUUGAACACUUGUUGUGACCACAUUUUGGUGCCUGAAGGAAAUAUGUGUAACGUGCAUGAACUCUAUGCACUGUGGGUACAUAACUCACCAAAUGAUGGACGGUUGAGGGGAAACUGGGACAUGAGGUUAUGAAGUAUAUUAGACACUGCAUUCAUUUAUAUGGGUUUUAUUAGGUGUGUGCAAUUCAAGAGGUAUGCAAUUGUGUCUCAAAUAUAACAAAAUAAGAGACAGAGGAAACAGUAGACAGAGGACACAGUUGCCCAGUUUUGUCAGUUUUUAAAAAGCUUCAGUGGUAAAAAAAGACAACCUGAGUAUUGCUACUCUAGCCUUAAUUUUAAUCGUCUAUUUUUUCUUUCUGUAGUUGUAGUACAGCUUCCUCCAUCACUGUUUAACACAUAUGUUUAUCUCACAAACGUCAGCCACAGGGAAUUCCAUAAUUACACCUUCAUACAUGUGUUGAUAGAUUACUUUUUUAAUGACAGGAUAUGUGGUUCUAUAUUGAUUUAAACAUGUGUAGAUGUAAUCAUGUUGCUGUCUUAGUAUUUAACCUCACAAGACAAUAAAGUGACGUAGCUUCCUUUUUAUGUUGAUAGUGUAGUGUAUUUUGCAUUACAGCUCUUAAAGAUACAGCCAUAAAGACAGAUAUGGGCUCAGAGGCCCACAAGGUGUUCAUGGUAGAGAAUACCCUUGUUUAGAGUUGGACCAGAUGGUUUACAUUAGGAAACCCUUAUGGAAUGACGUGAUUCUGCUCCAAGGCUGGAGCAGCACGCCCAUUCCUGCUUCCUUAAAAGAGGUAACACAAAUUCAUUUGGGUGGAUUUCGUGGGUUUCGUGGAUUCCCUGGACCUUCUGAAAUCACCCGGGCUGUAAGCAGUAUACGCUCGUAAUUAGACCUGUUUUCUUUCUGUAAUAAAACUGCAUUAUAUCAGCAACAA